RNAcentral lists this ribosomal RNA (257 nucleotides) under uncultured bacterium. RNAcentral's name for it is "partial 16S ribosomal RNA". It matches the Rfam family "Bacterial small subunit ribosomal RNA", at positions 524 to 776 of the family's 1533-position model. The record is from RNAcentral.
UACGUAGGGUGCAAGCGUUGCCCCGGAAUUAUUGGGCGUAAAGAGCUCGUAGGCGGUCUGUCGCGUCGGAUGUGAAAAACUCGGGGGCUCAACCCCCGAGCCUGCAUUCGAUACGGGCAGACUAGAGUUCGGUAGGGGAGACUGGAAUUCCUGGUGUAGCGGUGAAAUGCGCAGAUAUCAGGAGGAACACCGGUGGCGAAGGCGGGUCUCUGGGCCGAUACUGACGCUGAGGAGCGAAAGCGUGGGGAGCGAACAGG